RNAcentral lists this ribosomal RNA (432 nucleotides) under uncultured bacterium. RNAcentral describes it as "partial 16S ribosomal RNA". It matches the Rfam family "Bacterial small subunit ribosomal RNA", at positions 29 to 506 of the family's 1533-position model. The record is from RNAcentral.
AGCGAACGCUGGCGGCAGGCUUAACACAUGCAAGUCGAGCGGGCACUUCGGUGUCAGCGGCAGACGGGUGAGUAACACGUGGGAACGUACCCUUUGGUUCGGAAUAACGCUGGGAAACUAGCGCUAAUACCGGAUACGCCCUUUUGGGGAAAGGCUUGCUGCCGAAGGAUCGGCCCGCGUCUGAUUAGCUAGUUGGUGGGGUAAUGGCCUACCAAGGCGACGAUCGGUAGCUGGUCUGAGAGGAUGAUCAGCCACACUGGGACUGAGACACGGCCCAGACUCCUACGGGAGGCAGCAGUGGGGAAUAUUGGACAAUGGGCGCAAGCCUGAUCCAGCCAUGCCGCGUGAGUGAUGAAGGCCUUAGGGUUGUAAAGCUCUUUUGUCCGGGACGAUAAUGACGGUACCGGAAGAAUAAGCCCCGGCUAACUUCGU